UUUCCCUGUGAUGUAAAAAUGACCAUGCUAAUUCUGAAUCUUUUUUCUGAAGAAAAGCUUAAGUUAUUUAUCUGAGGGAGCA
Molecule: non-coding RNA, 82 nt
Organism: Solanum tuberosum (potato)
Lineage: Eukaryota; Viridiplantae; Streptophyta; Magnoliopsida; Solanales; Solanaceae
Source: Rfam